AACAAGGUUUCCGUAGGUGAACCUGCGGAAGGAUCAUUACUGAGUACCGGGUCUCUCAGGCCCUUACUCCCACCCUUUGUGAACCUUACCAAAAUCUUCAGUUGCCUUGGUGGGACUCCAACCUACUCCCAGAUUUUUUAGUUUUUAUAACAUUAAAUCCUUUGGGGGGUUAAAAAGGGAAGGAACUCACCAUUGGAACUUCUUUUUAAACUCUUAUGAAUUGGGUUUGUCUGAGAACAAAAACAAAUAAAUUAAAACUUUCAACAACGGAUCUCUUGGUUCUGGCAUCGAUGAAGAACGCAGCGAAAUGCGAUAAGUAAUGUGAAUUGCAGAAUUCAGUGAAUCAUCGAAUCUUUGAACGCACAUUGCGCCCUUUGGUAUUCCGAAGGGCAUGUCUGUUCGAGCGUCAUUUCAACCCUCAAGCUUCUUGCUUGGUAUUGGGCUUUCAUCCUGUCUAAAAAGAAAGGAUGUGCCUAAAACUCAUAGGCGGUUGUACUCAACUCCCUUGCGUAGUUAAAUUUUUUCUCGCUUGGAAGAUUAGGUGUGACCCGCCUAAGAACCCCCAAUUUUUUAGGUUUGACCUCGGAUCAGAUAGGGAUACCCGCUGAACUUAAGCAUA
RNAcentral lists this ribosomal RNA (619 nucleotides) under Helicomyces sp. NCYU-K4-1. RNAcentral describes it as "eukaryotic LSU rRNA". The stretch from base 256 to 409 matches the Rfam family "5.8S ribosomal RNA". The record is from RNAcentral. Lineage: Eukaryota; Fungi; Ascomycota; Dothideomycetes; Tubeufiales; Tubeufiaceae.